RNAcentral lists this ribosomal RNA (460 nucleotides) under uncultured bacterium. RNAcentral describes it as "partial 16S ribosomal RNA". It matches the Rfam family "Bacterial small subunit ribosomal RNA", at positions 338 to 795 of the family's 1533-position model. The record is from RNAcentral.
CCUACGGGGGGCAGCAGUGAGGAAUAUUGGUCAAUGGACGAGAGUCUGAACCAGCCAAGUAGCGUGAAGGAUGACUGCCCUAUGGGUUGUAAACUUCUUUUAUAAAGGAAUAAAGCGAGGCACGUGUGCCUUUUUGCAUGUACUUUAUGAAUAAGGAUCGGCUAACUCCGUGCCAGCAGCCGCGGUAAUACGGAGGAUCCGAGCGUUAUCCGGGUUUAUUUGGUUUAAAGGGAGCGUAGAUGGGUUGUUAAGUCAGUUGUGAAAGUUUGCGGCUCAACCGUAAAAUUGCAAUUGAUACUGGCAGUCUUGAGUACAGUUGAGGUAGGCGGAAUUCGUGGUGUAGCGGUGAAAUGCUUAGAUAUCACGAAGAACCCCGAUUGCGAAGGCAGCUUACUAAACUGUGACUGACAUUGAUGCUCGAAAGUGUGGGUAUCAAACAGGAUUAGAUACCCCAGUAGUC